GAUGAACGCUGGCGGCGUGCCUAAUACAUGCAAGUCGAGCGAACGGACGAGAAGCUUGCUUCUCUGAUGUUAGCGGCGGACGGGUGAGUAACACGUGGAUAACCUACCUAUAAGACUGGGAUAACUUCGGGAAACCGGAGCUAAUACCGGAUAAUAUUUUGAACCGCAUGGUUCAAAAGUGAAAGACGGUCUUGCUGUCACUUAUAGAUGGAUCCGCGCUGCAUUAGCUAGUUGGUAAGGUAACGGCUUACCAAGGCAUCGAUGCAUAGCCGACCUGAGAGGAUGAUCGGCCACACUGGAACUGAGACACGGUCCAGACUCCUACGGGAGGCAGCAGUAGGGAAUCUUCCGCAAUGGGCGAAAGCCUGACGGAGCAACGCCGCGUGAGUGAUGAAGGUCUUCGGAUCGUAAAACUCUGUUAUUAGGGAAGAACAUAUGUGUAAGUAACUGUGCACAUCUUGACGGUACCUAAUCAGAAAGCCACGGCUAACUACGUG
This 497-nucleotide ribosomal RNA is filed under the name uncultured bacterium. RNAcentral's name for it is "partial 16S ribosomal RNA". It matches the Rfam family "Bacterial small subunit ribosomal RNA", at positions 28 to 507 of the family's 1533-position model. The record is from RNAcentral.